CCGAGAUGAGUUCUCCCUGACCCUUUAAGGGUCCUGAAGGAACGUUGAAGACGACAACGUUGAUAGGCCGGGUGUGUAAGCGCAGCGAUGCGUUGAGCUAACCGGUACUAAUGAACCGUGAGGCUUAACCUUACAACGCCGAAG
Molecule: ribosomal RNA, 144 nt
Filed under: Escherichia coli O78:H12 str. 00-3279
Lineage: Bacteria; Pseudomonadati; Pseudomonadota; Gammaproteobacteria; Enterobacterales; Enterobacteriaceae
Description: partial 23S ribosomal RNA
Rfam family: Bacterial large subunit ribosomal RNA
Source: RNAcentral